Molecule: small RNA, 2605 nt
Filed under: Pongo abelii (Sumatran orangutan)
Lineage: Eukaryota; Metazoa; Chordata; Mammalia; Primates; Hominidae
Description: retained intron
Source: RNAcentral
GAGCUGACAGCGCUUGCGCUCCCCCUACUCGUUCUAAUUCCACGCGCUCCAAAAUAUCCGCCAUGGAGAAAUCCUGGCCAGGAUGUCCAUUCUAGGCCCAUCGAUGCUGUCUUGCUGAAGGUUGGGUCAGGCAUCUAAAGGGACUGUGGUAAGGGAGGGUGUGACACAGGUGUAAGCUGCCAUCGUCAUCAUGAACUUUGAGGGUCUGGACCCUGGACUGGCAGAGUAUGCCCCAGCCAUGCAUUCUGCCCUGGACCCUGUCCUGGAUGCCCACCUGAACCCAAGUCUGCUACAGAAUGUGGAGCUGGACCCAGAGGGAGUGGCCUUGGAGGCUCUUCCCGUCCAGGAAUCAGUGCACAUAAUGGAAGGUGUCUACUCUGAAUUGCACAGCGUGGUGGCUGAAGUGGGUGUACCUGUUUCCGUCUCCCACUUUGACUUGCACGAGGAGAUGCUGUGGGUGGGGAGCCACGGGGGCCAUGCCACUUCAUUUUUUGGCCCAGCCUUGGAGCGCUACUCAUCCUUUCAAGUCAAUGGCAGUGAUGAUAUUCGGCAGAUCCAGAGCCUGGAGAAUGGUAUCCUUUUUCUCACCAAGAACAACCUCAAGUAUAUGGCCCGUGGGGGCCUCAUUAUAUUUGAUUACCUGCUGGAUGAGAAUGAAGAUAUGCACAGUCUCCUACUGACUGACAGCAGCACUCUACUCGUUGGUGGGCUGCAGAAUCACAUAGUAGAGAUUGAUCUUAACACUGUCCAGGAGACUCAGAAGUAUGCAGUAGAGACGCCUGGAGUCACCAUCAUGAGACAGACAAAUCGCUUCUUCUUCUGCGGCCACACGUCUGGCAAGGUUUCCCUGAGAGACCUCCGUACUUUUAAGGUAGAACAUGAGUUUGAUGCCUUCUCAGGAAGUCUGUCAGACUUUGAUGUGCAUGGCAACCUGCUAGCUGCCUGUGGCUUCUCCAGCCGCCUCACUGGCCUGGCCUGCGACCGUUUCCUCAAGGUGUAUGAUUUGCGCAUGAUGCGUGCCAUCACACCACUUCAAGUACAUGUGGAUCCUGCCUUCUUGCGCUUCAUUCCUACAUAUACUUCUCGUCUUGCUAUCAUCUCUCAGUCAGGGCAGUGCCAAUUCUGUGAACCCACAGGCCUGGCCAACCCAGCAGAUAUCUUUCAUGUGAAUCCUGUGGGGCCUCUGCUAAUGACAUUUGAUGUGUCAGCCAGCAAGCAGGCUCUGGCCUUUGGGGAUUCUGAGGGCUGUGUGCACCUCUGGACUGAUUCCCCAGAGCCUUCCUUCAACCCCUACUCCCGUGAGACUGAGUUUGCUUUGCCGUGUCUCGUGGACUCACUGCCUCCUCUGGACUGGAGCCAGGACCUGCUGCCUCUUUCCCUCAUCCCUGUCCCACUCACCACUGACACACUUCUCUCUGAUUGGCCUGCUGCCAACUCUGCUCCAGCUCCCAGGCGAGCACCACCUGUGGAUGCAGAGAUUCUGCGCACCAUGAAGAAGGUGGGCUUCAUUGGCUAUGCACCCAAUCCCCGCACCAGGCUGCGCAAUCAGAUACCUUACAGACUCAAGGAGUCAGACAGUGAAUUUGACAGCUUCAGCCAGGUCACUGAGUCACCAGUAGGACGAGAAGAGGAACCACAUCUCCACAUGGUUUCUAAGAAAUACCGCAAGGUGACCAUCAAAUAUUCCAAGCUAGGGCUGGAGGACUUUGACUUCAAACACUACAAUAAGACCUUGUUUGCUGGAUUAGAGCCCCACAUUCCCAACGCUUACUGUAACUGCAUGAUCCAGGUGCUCUAUUUCCUGGAGCCUGUACGCUGUCUAAUUCAAAACCACCUUUGCCAGAAGGAGUUCUGUCUGGCAUGUGAGCUGGGCUUCCUGUUUCACAUGUUGGACCUCUCUCGUGGUGACCCUUGCCAGGGCAAUAAUUUUCUUCGGGCAUUCCGUACUAUUCCUGAGGCCUCAGCCCUUGGUCUGAUCCUGGCUGACUCAGAUGAGGCCUCAGGCAAGGGCAAUCUGGCCAGGCUCAUUCAGAGGUGGAAUCGCUUCAUUCUCACUCAACUGCAUCAAGAUAUGCAGGAGCUGGAAGUACCACAGGCUUAUCGAGGUGCUGGAGGCAGGUAUGAAAUCAGGAUAGAAAUAGUUAAAGCCAUCAUGACAGGCCCCUCUGUGAUUUAAAAGGUCUCCUAACUUCCUCAAUGUGCAUAUACCAUUCUCUCCACUCUUAGCAGCUUUUGCUCAUCGGGGGACUCUGUUAUUGGGCAGCUCUUCAGCUGUGAGAUGGAGAACUGCAGCCUCUGCCGCUGUGGCAGUGAGACCGUGCGCGCCUCAUCCACCCUGCUUUUCACACUCUCCUACCCUGAUGGUAGCAGAAGUGGUGUACCCUGCAGCUCAGUUGGGAAGGCUCCCCAAAAUGUCCUGUAAUAUCAGGGAGAGGGUGUUGGGGACUAACUGUGGGUAGAGGGGAGAACCAGGAGUAAAGCAUCUAAUUUUCCCUCAGAUAAAACUGGGAAGAACUAUGACUUUGCUCAGGUGCUGAAGCGAAGCAUCUGCCUGGACCAGAAUACACAGGCCUGGUGUGACACCUGUGAAAAGUACCAGCCCACG